GACGAACGCUGGCGGCGUGCUUAACACAUGCAAGUCAAACGAAGAGCGAUGGAAGCUUGCUUCUAUCAAUCUUAGUGGCGAACGGGUGAGUAACGCGUAAUCAACCUGCCCUUCAGAGGGGGACAACAGUUGGAAACGACUGCUAAUACCGCAUACGAUCUAAUCUCGGCAUCGAGGAAAGAUGAAAGGUGGCCUCUAUUUAUAAGCUAUCACUGAAGGAGGGGAUUGCGUCUGAUUAGCUAGUUGGAGGGGUAACGGCCCACCAAGGCGAUGAUCAGUAGCCGGUCUGAGAGGAUGAACGGCCACAUUGGGACUGAGACACGGCCCAGACUCCUACGGGAGGCAGCAGUGGGGAAUCUUCCGCAAUGGACGAAAGUCUGACGGAGCAACGCCGCGUGAGUGAUGACGGCCUUCGGGUUGUAAAGCUCUGUUAAUCGGGACGAAAGGCCUUCUUGCGAACAGUUAGAAGGAUUGACGGUACCGGAAUAGAAAGCCACGGCUAACUACGUG
Molecule: ribosomal RNA, 510 nt
Filed under: uncultured bacterium
Lineage: Bacteria
Description: partial 16S ribosomal RNA
Rfam family: Bacterial small subunit ribosomal RNA
Source: RNAcentral